RNAcentral lists this ribosomal RNA (496 nucleotides) under uncultured bacterium. RNAcentral describes it as "partial 16S ribosomal RNA". It matches the Rfam family "Bacterial small subunit ribosomal RNA", at positions 28 to 507 of the family's 1533-position model. The record is from RNAcentral.
GAUGAACGCUGGCGGCGUGCCUAAUACAUGCAAGUCGAGCGAACGGACGAGAAGCUUGCUUUUCUGAUGUUAGCGGCGGACGGGUGAGUAACACGUGGAUAACCUACCUAUAAGACUGGGAUAACUUCGGGAAACCGGAGCUAAUACCGGAUAAUAUUUUGAACCGCAUGGUUCAAAAGUGAAAGACGGUCUUGCUGUCACUUAUAGAUGGAUCCGCGCUGCAUUAGCUAGUUGGUAAGGUAACGGCUUACCAAGGCAACGAUGCAUAGCCGACCUGAGAGGGUGAUCGGCCACACUGGAACUGAGACACGGUCAAGACGCCUACGGGAGGCAGCAGUAGGGAAUCUUCCGCAAUGGGCGAAAGCCUGACGGAGCAACGCCGCGUGAGUGAUGAAGGCCUUCGGAUCGUAAAACUCUGUUAUUAGGGAAGAACAGAUGUGUAAGUAACUGUGCACAUCUUGACGGUACCUAAUCAGAAAGCACGGCUAACUACGUG